UAUUGCACAAUGGGCGCAAGCCUGAUGCAGCGACGCCGCGUGAAUGACGAAGGCCUUCGUGUCGUAAAGAUCUUUCGACAGGGAAGAAAAUGCCUAUAAGUAACUGUGUAGGUAUUAACGGUACCUGUAUAAGCAGCCCCGGCUAACUCCGUGCCAGCAGCCGCGGUAAUACGGAGGGGGCGAGCGUUGUUCGGAGUGACUGGGCGUAAAGAGCACGUAGGCGGUGUUGUAAGUCAUUAGUCAAGAACUAGAGCUCAACUUUAGUAAGGCUAGUGAUACUAUAAUACUAGAGUAUCAGAGAGGAUUGCAGAAUUCCUGGUGUAGCGGUGAAAUGCGUAGAUAUCAGGAGGAAUACCGUUAGCGAAGGCGGCAAUCUGGCUGGAAACUGACGCUGAGGUGCGAAAGCGUGGGUAGCAAA
RNAcentral lists this ribosomal RNA (418 nucleotides) under uncultured bacterium. RNAcentral's name for it is "bacterial SSU rRNA". It matches the Rfam family "Bacterial small subunit ribosomal RNA", at positions 362 to 772 of the family's 1533-position model. The record is from RNAcentral.